This 422-nucleotide ribosomal RNA is filed under the name uncultured bacterium. Its description in RNAcentral is "bacterial SSU rRNA". It matches the Rfam family "Bacterial small subunit ribosomal RNA", at positions 355 to 774 of the family's 1533-position model. The record is from RNAcentral.
UAAGGAAUAUUGGACAAUGGAGGCAACUCUGAUCCAGCCAUGCCGCUUGAAGGAAUAAGGCCCUAUGGGUUGUAAACUUCUUUUAGACGGGACAAAACCCCUUUACGUGUAAAGGGUUGAUGGUACUGUCAGAAUAAGCACCGGCUAACUACGUGCCAGCAGCCGCGGUAAUACGUAGGGUGCGAGCGUUAAUCGGAAUUACUGGGCGUAAAGCGUGCGCAGGCGGCUUUGUAAGACAGAUGUGAAAUCCCCGGGCUCAACCUGGGAACUGCAUUUGUGACUGCAAGGCUAGAGUGCGUCAGAGGGAGGUGGAAUUCCGCGUGUAGCAGUGAAAUGCGUAGAGAUGCGGAGGAACACCGAUGGCGAAGGCAGCCUCCUGGGAUGACACUGACGCUCAUGCACGAAAGCGUGGGGAGCAAACA